Molecule: ribosomal RNA, 797 nt
Filed under: uncultured Mycobacterium sp.
Lineage: Bacteria; Bacillati; Actinomycetota; Actinomycetes; Mycobacteriales; Mycobacteriaceae
Description: bacterial SSU rRNA
Rfam family: Bacterial small subunit ribosomal RNA
Source: RNAcentral
ACUGGGCGUAAAGAGCUCGUAGGUGGUUUGUCGCGUUGUUCGUGAAAUCUCACGGCUUAACUGUGAGCGUGCGGGCGAUACGGGCAGACUUGAGUACUGCAGGGGAGACUGGAAUUCCUGGUGUAGCGGUGGAAUGCGCAGAUAUCAGGAGGAACACCGGUGGCGAAGGCGGGUCUCUGGGCAGUAACUGACGCUGAGGAGCGAAAGCGUGGGGAGCGAACAGGAUUAGAUACCCUGGUAGUCCACGCCGUAAACGGUGGGUACUAGGUGUGGGUUUCCUUCCUUGGGAUCCGUGCCGUAGCUAACGCAUUAAGUACCCCGCCUGGGGAGUACGGCCGCGAGGCUAAAACUCAAAGAAAUUGACGGGGGCCCGCACAAGCGGCGGAGCAUGUGGAUUAAUUCGAUGCAACGCGAAGAACCUUACCUGGGUUUGACAUGCACAGGACGCCGGCAGAGAUGUCGGUUCCCUUGUGGCCUGUGUGCAGGUGGUGCAUGGCUGUCGUCAGCUCGUGUCGUGAGAUGUUGGGUUAAGUCCCGCAACGAGCGCAACCCUUGUCUCAUGUUGCCAGCGGGUAAUGCCGGGGACUCGUGAGAGACUGCCGGGGUCAACUCGGAGGAAGGUGGGGAUGACGUCAAGUCAUCAUGCCCCUUAUGUCCAGGGCUUCACACAUGCUACAAUGGCCGGUACAAAGGGCUGCGAUGCCGCGAGGUUAAGCGAAUCCUUUUAAAGCCGGUCUCAGUUCGGAUCGGGGUCUGCAACUCGACCCCGUGAAGUCGGAGUCGCUAGUAAUCGCAGA